GAGUGGAAGGAGGCUGCCUUGUGGAGAGGAGGGGACUAGGACUCCUAUCUAACACAAGAAGAUUCUAGCUAUGUCAAGCAGAAAAAGGAAGGCCACUGACACUGCUGGCAGGCACUCAAGGAUGGAUCCAAAUCUCUCCUCAGAUGACAGCCAGAACCCAGGUGCAGUCGCAGCAGCUAACAGAGAAGUCCUUGAUGCUGGUAGGGAGGACAUUAUUUCCUCAGGAACAGAGAGGCAACAGGCCAGGAAGGAAAAACAGGAUUUGGUCCAAGAAUUCGAAGAGCCACCUAACAAAGUUCUUCAGGAAAACAGAGAAAGAUUCUCAAGGAUCAUGACCUCAUCUUUCAGUGCCAUGGAGGUCAAAAUUAAGGAUGUUCUGAAAACCCACUGUGAAGAGAGGUAGGGUUGUUGCUUCUUGUCACUUUGAUCCCAGAGCUGUUGACAGUUGGUUUGUGAGCACAAUGAAGGGGGAAUAGCCAGUGGCCCCACUGGCUAGAAGCUUUGUUGGCAAGUGAACUUGCCUUGAUUUUUCUGUAGGACAGACUUUGUUUUGUCUUAUACCCUCCCGUUGUACUGAAGUCAGUCAACUGCGUUUCCUAAGGAUGAACUAAGAUGUUUUGACACAGGGCAGUUGAAUCAGUGUAACAGUAAGUAAGGUGUGCGCAUUGUGUGAAAGUUCUGGGUACAUUGAGCUUGAAAUCCUCAAAUCAUCCAUCCUGGAGUCCUUCAUCUCUUCAGUGUGAAAUGAAAUGAAAAUCUCUAGCCUCCAAUGUUGUACAGGUUUCCGGAGGAGCCCAGUUCACCAUACAGGUAUGCUGAAAUCCUCACAGGUACAGUGAUGAAGAGUGGGUAGGCGUCCACAGAAUUCUCUGAUGGUUGUGGGUGUGCAUCCUCAUUGGACCUAUCUUUAUAAUGGGAAAAUUAAGCAGGGGUUGUGCUCGUCAGAGAGACUAAUACUUGUGGAAUGCUACUAAGACAAUCCUGAGUUUUCUAGCACUAAGAGCUGUGAAGUGACUCCUGUCUCGGCCAAGGAGGAACACAUGCUAUUAGCCUGGUAGGAACUAAUCCACCUCAUUUUCCAUUUCCCUGUCAGAAUAUUUUAGAUCUCCUUUCCCAGUCUUGCAUUUAGUGAAGGAAAGUCAGUCGUGCUGUGUUUGAAUGGGCUUUCUUCAUGUCGAGAAGGAAUAUCACAGUGUUCACGUUGUCUUUUACAGGCAGAAACUUUGUCAGGACUAUUCUCUUCAGUUUACAAAUUUGAAUAGGAAGUUAACUUCGGAUGCAUACAAACUCAAGAAACAUGCCGAAACACUCUCUAAUAUGUUUAUGGAGCAACAGAAGUUUAUUCAUGAAAGUCUCACUCUUCAGAAGAACAGAAUGAAGGAAUUUAAAUCACUGUGUGAAAAAUACUUGGAGAAACUGGAGGUACUGAGGGAUUCUCGGGGAAAUUCCAUCGCUGAAGAGCUGAGACGUCUCAUAGCCACCUUGGAAAUCAAACUUCUGAUGCUGCAUAACCAGCAAAAGACUGCUGCUCCUCCACAGUCUCUCCUGGAUGUGUUAUUCUCAUAAAACUUUGGAGCACAAAAGCCGAUAUGAGGGGAGCAGUAUAAUCAUCUGGGUGAAGCUGCUAGUGCUGAUGAUUGCAGCUUCGGUGCCUGGAUCUUCUCCUGUCUUCCUCCUGUUCCUGAAGAUGCCCCGUUCUGUUAAAUCCAAAUAAACCCUGGGAUUUGUGUGACAGCAGUGCAAAUAUGUCUGUAGGGAACUCCAGCCCUCGGGUAGAGAUGGCAGGCUUUCCUUGGUAGCAUCGCAAUUACUGGUUAGCACACAUUGGUGUUGAUACAGUAGAUUAUCAUACCUGAACAUCAUCUCCCCAAAUUGGAAGGCACACAAGUGGGCUAUUGUUGUCGUGUCCAGAUAAAUAAUUAGAGAAGAUACAGGCUUUCUUUGACAUUCUGCUCUGAAAUGUGUUCAGUGAUGGAGCCUAUGAAACUGACCUUCAGCCUCCAAAGGCAGUGUGCUCUUAAUAGUUAAAGUAGUAGAAUUCAUCAAACCUCCCGAGUAAGAAAGAUGUGAGUAACGUGGCUUGAAUCAGUGGAAAUGCCAUUUGCAGACAACAUUUACAAGGUCUUUCAAUUAAAUGAAUCUGUCACACUAAGAGGUGAUUCUGAACAUGAAUACAGCUUAAUUCACCAUGGUUUAUUAAUCCCUCACUUGUAUGGAUAGGAGUAACUUAGAAUGUUUUGUUUGUGGAAUUUAUCGCACAUGUAGUAUGGGAUCAUCAGGGAUAUUAUAUAUGAGGUCUCGUGUACAGUUAAAGCUCGCGUCCUGUGAUUUCCUGUAUGGAUACCCUGGGAAAUCCUUACUUGGGAACGUUUGAUUUAAUAAACAUGAAAUAGUUUCAGACUUGUUGGCAUGAGUCAUUUAAUUGCAUUCUCUUUCUGACAUCCCUGACGUUUCACCCCUUCUCAGACAGACAUGGCCCCAUGCCAUGUGGAGGUGUGCUGUCACCUGUGUUCCUGCAUGGGGCCAGUGUAGUCCAGGCCACUUGUCUCAUUGUGUCCCGUUGUGUAGAAGCAUUGAAAACAGGCUGUGUUCAGCCUCCCCCAUUUUCUCCAAGUUGAAUUGCAUUCCUCCAGACUGAAUGAGGGCUUCCCUGCUGGGAUCAUUUUACUGUCUAAAGUUUGCAUUAUCUAGAAGAACUUCCCCCUUUGUGCAAACUACCUGUAACCCUGUGGGCCUUUAGUAUUAUUUCUUUAAUAAUCAUUAAUCAUAAUAAAAUGUUGUAUUAUUAGCA
RNA transcript from Mus musculus (house mouse), 2791 nucleotides. It is a transcript of the gene named X-linked lymphocyte-regulated 3B, with no coding region annotated. The record is from RefSeq and is marked validated. The transcript has 8 exons. NCBI's taxonomy places the organism in Eukaryota, Metazoa, Chordata, Mammalia, Rodentia, Muridae.